AGCUAUUUAGUUUAUUUAAAAUAUUUAUUUGUGGUAUAAAGGAAUUAAUGGCUU
This 54-nucleotide transfer RNA is filed under the name Nippostrongylus brasiliensis. RNAcentral describes it as "tRNA-His". Lineage: Eukaryota; Metazoa; Nematoda; Chromadorea; Rhabditida; Heligmosomidae. The record is from RNAcentral.